This 253-nucleotide ribosomal RNA is filed under the name uncultured bacterium. RNAcentral describes it as "partial 16S ribosomal RNA". It matches the Rfam family "Bacterial small subunit ribosomal RNA", at positions 524 to 776 of the family's 1533-position model. The record is from RNAcentral.
UACGGAGGAUCCAAGCGUUAUCCGGAUUUAUUGGGUUUAAAGGGUGUGUAGGCGGCCUGUUAAGUCAGGGGUGAAAGACGGUAGCUCAACUAUCGCAGUGCCCUUGAUACUGAUGGGCUUGAAUGUACUAGAGGUAGGCGGAAUGUGACAAGUAGCGGUGAAAUGCAUAGAUAUGUCACAGAACACCAAUUGCGAAGGCAGCUUACUAGGCUGUAACUGACGCUGAGGCACGAAAGCGUGGGGAGCGAACAGG